Molecule: ribosomal RNA, 680 nt
Filed under: Ligilactobacillus acidipiscis
Lineage: Bacteria; Bacillati; Bacillota; Bacilli; Lactobacillales; Lactobacillaceae
Description: bacterial SSU rRNA
Rfam family: Bacterial small subunit ribosomal RNA
Source: RNAcentral
GUCGAACGCAAUCUUUGACUAAUGAGUGCUUGCACUCAGCGGUCAAAGUGCGAGUGGCGAACGGGUGAGUAACACGUGGGCAAUCUGCCCAAAAGUGGGGGAUAACACUUGGAAACAGGUGCUAAUACCGCAUCAACCGGCUGACCGCAUGGUCGGCCGGGCAAAGACGGCGUCAGCUGUCGCUUUUGGAUGAGCCCGCGGCGUAUUAACUAGUUGGUAAGGUAACGGCUUACCAAGGUGAUGAUACGUAGCCGAACUGAGAGGUUGAUCGGCCACAUUGGGACUGAGACACGGCCCAAACUCCUACGGGAGGCAGCAGUAGGGAAUCUUCCACAAUGGACGCAAGUCUGAUGGAGCAACGCCGCGUGUAUGAAGAAGGUCUUCGGAUCGUAAAAUACUGUUGUCAGAGAAGAACACGUGAUAGAGUAACUGCUAUGGCGCUGACGGUAUCUGACCAGCAAGUCACGGCUAACUACGUGCCAGCAGCCGCGGUAAUACGUAGGUGGCAAGCGUUGUCCGGAUUUAUUGGGCGUAAAGGGAACGCAGGCGGUCUUUUAAGUCUGAUGUGAAAGCCUUCGGCUUAACCGGAGAAGUGCAUUGGAAACUGGAAGACUUGAGUGCAGAAGAGGAGAGUGGAACUCCAUGUGUAGCGGUGAAAUGCGUAGAUAUAUGGAAGAACA